Molecule: long non-coding RNA, 1174 nt
Organism: Beta vulgaris subsp. vulgaris (sugar beet)
Lineage: Eukaryota; Viridiplantae; Streptophyta; Magnoliopsida; Caryophyllales; Amaranthaceae
Exons: 3
Source: RefSeq, a predicted model, not a curated record
GGGGUUUUGGGUGAAAUGGGUUUUCACGGGGAUAGAGAAAGGAAGUGAGAUUGGAUUUCUUUGGGUUUGGGUUUUCAUUAACCGACAAGGGAAAGAAACGGAUCCAACUUUGAUUUCCUAAUCGGGAACACUCUUUGAGGAUGGGACUUGCAUAUAUUAUAGCUGUUGUCUCCCCAUUUGACGAGUAUGCUAAUGAUCUACUUUAUUUGGAGCCAGGAUCACGCCUUCCCAGCCAGGCCAAGAUAUCGAAGGAAUGCCAACUCUUCUCUGGAUAGCAUACAGAGGAAAACCUCACAUGAAAGUGAGAAGGCUGAUUUGACAAAUCAAAGAUGACCAAAGAUGACCUUAUGUUCUUUUGUUUCAUGUCUGCGUAUUAGUGUGGAAACCUGCCCGUAACAUUUUUACAUGCUGCAAAUAUGACUUCCUUGCUACCUUCCACCCUAGGAUGUUCAGGGAACUACAAUGCAUACUUUGUUCAUGAUACUAAACAUGAUGAAGUCUUGCAGGCUUACUGCUUUGGAAGAAUUGAUCUUUUUUCCUUCUCUAGAAAAUUAUAUCUACAUAUCCUGGUAGUGGGGAUGUUGACACAUCCACUGUGGUGAAGGAUGACGAGGAUGGCUGCAUUUGUGGAGCUUCAGGUUGUUUAUUUAAUAUUGCUAACUUGUAAAUUUUGUGAUGUGAUGGAACAACUUCUGCUAAGCUUACAUAUCCAUUCACAUUAUAUUUUUGGAUAGGUUUUAAAGCUGGUGUAACUUGUGUAAACAUUUUCCAUGAGUAGUGUGCUCUUCCCAUGCUUCUGUGCGUACAAAUGCAGUUGUAUGUUCUAAUGAAAAGAAAUUUUAGUGUUUCUGCUUUUUACAUAACCCCUCUGUAAUUUUUACAAUUCCUGUUAUUGAUAUAGUCGAAGUAAGAAAAAAUCGACCUUAAUUGGUGAUUUAUAUAUGAGGCAAUAUGGAACCUAUGGGUGAAAUGAAGGGCAUAAGGCAAUGUUUUAUAUUUACCAUACCCUGCUAGCACUCGAGUCAGAUUUUCAGUCAUUCUUCUAUACGGUGUCAACCUAUUGCGCAACUACUUUUUGUUGUAUCUCUUUUGAAAAAAUACAGUGGGAAGCUUAGAUGGGCCAACGCAGAAAGGGGUACUACGAGGCAAAUUGAGGAAAUUAAAGGAGCAUAUA